This 97-nucleotide signal recognition particle RNA is filed under the name Propionibacteriaceae bacterium. RNAcentral describes it as "signal recognition particle sRNA small type". It matches the Rfam family "Bacterial small signal recognition particle RNA". Rfam says of the family: The signal recognition particle (SRP) is a universally conserved ribonucleoprotein involved in the co-translational targeting of proteins to membranes. Archaeal SRP consists of a 7S RNA and homologues of the eukaryotic SRP19 and SRP54 proteins. Lineage: Bacteria; Bacillati; Actinomycetota; Actinomycetes; Propionibacteriales; Propionibacteriaceae. The record is from RNAcentral.
CCUGGUCCCCCGCGUGGCGGUACCUCCCUGAACCCCUCCAGGGCCGGAAGGCAGCAAAGGUAAGGGAGCUCUUCCGGGUGCGCGGGGGGCUUUACUU